This 274-nucleotide ribosomal RNA is filed under the name uncultured bacterium. RNAcentral describes it as "partial 16S ribosomal RNA". It matches the Rfam family "Bacterial small subunit ribosomal RNA", at positions 523 to 796 of the family's 1533-position model. The record is from RNAcentral.
AUACGGAGGGUGCAAGCGUUAAUCGGAAUUACUGGGCGUAAAGCGCGCGUAGGCGGCAUUGUAAGUCGGAUGUGAAAGCCCCGGGCUCAACCUGGGAAUUGCAUUCGAUACUGCAGAGCUAGAGUAUGGUAGAGGGAAGUGGAAUUUCCGGUGUAGCGGUGAAAUGCGUAGAUAUCGGAAGGAACACCAGUGGCGAAGGCGACUUCCUGGGCCAAUACUGACGCUAAGGUGCGAAAGCGUGGGGAGCAAACAGGAUUAGAAACCCCAGUAGUCC